Molecule: ribosomal RNA, 357 nt
Filed under: Cosmosoma hercyna
Lineage: Eukaryota; Metazoa; Arthropoda; Insecta; Lepidoptera; Erebidae
Description: partial 28S ribosomal RNA
Source: RNAcentral
GAGAGAUUCAUCGUCAUUCCCCGGCGUACGGGCUGCGCGCCUCGAUGUCGACGGCCUCGGUCGUCAGGCACGACGCGCGUCCGUCUACGUCCGGGGACGGCGUGCACUUCUCUCUUAGUAAAUACAUCGCGACCCGUUCGAUGUCGGUCUAAGCGCCGUUCGGGUGCCCCACGGUCCCUUCACGGGGUCUGUGGGACCGCGACGGUGGCCGACCGGCCGUCGGACGGUAGUUCUGACGAAACGCGCACGCGUUUCAAACGCGUCCGGCCCGACGCAAGUCAACGUCGUAUCCAGCGUACCGCCUCAGUGCGGACGCAGGUGCGGCGCGUCUGUUGUCGCUGCCGUGCAGUCUCGGAC